This 896-nucleotide long non-coding RNA is filed under the name Vigna radiata. RNAcentral describes it as "long non-coding RNA (VRAD_LNC015249)". The record is from RNAcentral. Lineage: Eukaryota; Viridiplantae; Streptophyta; Magnoliopsida; Fabales; Fabaceae.
UUGGCUUGAAAUCCUUAUUUUUCCUUGCUUGGAAGAUGAUUAUGAUGUUUGAGAGGUUGAUUUAAUUGUGACAGAAAUACCCUGUGUGAGAAUUUGAGCCACUUGCUAUUCUUUCUUGUGUCUGAUAUGUCUCUUGAUUGCUUGCACUUAUGCCUUGGCUUGACUCUUGUUGAUAAUUCUUGAUUCAUGUGCAUGUUUGAAAGUGAUAAAGGCAUUUUGUUGUUGAGCCUUUCUAGCCAAAUGAGCCUACCUUGUUGUGAUCCUUUGAUAGCCCCUUUGAGCCUUUACUUUUCCCAUUUCUUUGUUUUGAAGCUUAUACACUAGCCCCUAAGUGAAAAACAAUGUUUACCUUAACCUUAGGGAAUUUUGGAGCUUUGGAAUUGUUUUGGGAAUAAGUGUGGUCUCUUAGGAGUUGCAGAUGAAUUGGCUAGUGAGUCCUCUUCUUGCGGUUGCAUUGUAAAUAUCAUGUAUCUUGUCUCUUAGAAUUUUGUUCUGAAAAGAGAGAAAAGAAAAGAGACAAGAUGAAAAAAAAAAGAAAAAAAAUAAAUACAGAAAAAUGAGAAAAAUUAAAAAAAAACAUGUGAAUAAUGGAGUCAAGAAGAGGAUUGAAUUAGAGGUUUUGGGUGUGAUUUGACUGUGUUUACACUUGUUCCCCAUUGCUCCUCUAUUCCUUUUGGUUUGUAGCUUCUGAUCCAUAUUUAUCCUCCCUUUUCCUUGGCCCCAUUACAUCCAUAANAGACCUUUUGAUUUGAACAUGCAUAUGUUUUUGAGUGUUGAUAUUAGAGGCUUGCCAAGUCUAUUGUUGCUUGUUUUCUUGAGUGCAUUGAGUUGAAUUGUUUACCCUAGACACUUGAGAGAAACAUUGAUAGUGUGCAUCUGUGAGGUUCUGUUGCUUU